CGGGAGCAGGCUCAGGAGCCGGUUCCGGAGCGGGAACCGCUUCAGGGGCCUUUUCCUCCUUCUUGGCUGGUUCCUUCUUUGCUGCCUUCUUGAUCGGGGCAGGUUUGGCCGGCAUGUUGGCAGCUAAUUCCCAGUUCCACGUUUAAUCCAGAUACUGAUGGCCUGGCAGCCUGUCCAGGGUGUCUCCCCGCCUGCCGCCCAAUGACUGUGGGAUAGGCUUCAGCAUCCCCGCGACCCUGAGAGCAGGAUAAGCGGUUUGGAUAAUGGAUGGAUGGAUGCCGGAUUUAUAUGGCAGAAGUGGGGAUCUGACUCCAUGGCACUCGGUGGUGUCUCCUGGUGCUUCUCCUCACUGGGCUGACCAGGGCUACCAGAAGAUAUGCUGGGAGGAGGCAGGUGGAACAACUUGGCCUGGUCUUGCUGGGCAGACGGCCAAGGCAGCGUACCCCGCACCCACUCCACUGGGUCUUCCCACACCGCCUUCUGGCCAUGAACCUGAGGCCAUAUAACAUAUCAUAAUAAUAACCCCGAACUGGAGGAACACUGUUAGUAUUUGCUGAGGAGCAUACAAAGCGAGGUGUGAAGAGCCGUUUCUUUGUUCAACAACCAAGUGACUAAUGCUUAAAGACCCUGACCAGCGAAAGUCAAGGAAAAAAAAAACUUUCUAAGGCAAAGUGGCCACUUCAUGUAUGAUAAAACACAAACAUGUAUGAUUUAAAAAUUCACAUUUCAUAAAUAAUGUGAUAUUUUGGUAAUGUUGCCAACAUCAAUUUUCCCCAAUCCUGAGUGAAAGGCUGUUACGAAGCCAUCACAAGAAAGUUGAGGCUUGAACAUUCUUACUCAAUCUGAGUCUCAGGCCGAGGUGAGAGUCUCCAUAGACAUUCUCUUAGAAAUUACAUGAUUAGAAGAAGACAGCCAAACCAUUGUAUGGCGGCCUCUCUAACCACUACCUAAACUUAACUCUAAACUUGACCACUGUUACCAGAGCAGCUGCACAUACAAUACAAAAAUCGACUUUUGUGUACUUUCUGCACAACAAUUUUCAAGUCAUCUUGAGCAGUUGCUGCUUGUUGAGAAUGUGAAUCAGCGGUCCUAACCGGUCAAGUGGUUUCAGACAAUAUACAAAUGACAUAAAGCACAAAACAAAAAACAAAAAACAGGGAGGGACAAGGUGAAAUAAGC
Molecule: long non-coding RNA, 1179 nt
Organism: Lampris incognitus (smalleye Pacific opah)
Lineage: Eukaryota; Metazoa; Chordata; Actinopteri; Lampriformes; Lampridae
Exons: 3
Source: RefSeq, a predicted model, not a curated record